UCCGGCUUUUGACCGGCGGUCUCCUUAGAGUGCCCCCUUGCGGGAUGGCAACUAAGGACAAGGGUUGCGCUCGUUGCGGGACUUAACCCAACAUCUCACGACACGAGCUGACGACAGCCAUGCAGCACCUGUGCACGAUCUCCGAAGAGGGGCUCUCGUUUCUGAGAGCUUGCUCGUGCAUGUCAAGCCUAGGUAAGGUUCUUCGCGUUGCGUCGAAUUAAACCACACGCUCCGCUGCUUGUGCGGGCCCCCGCCUAUUCCUUUGAGUUUUAGCCUUGCGGUCGUACUCCCCAGGCGGGGUACUUCCUGCGUUAGCGCCGGCACCCAGAGGGUCGCUCCCCCAGGCACCUAGUACCCAUCGUUUACGGCGUGGACUAC
RNAcentral lists this unclassified non-coding RNA (378 nucleotides) under uncultured Gemmatimonadaceae bacterium. RNAcentral's name for it is "contains 16S-23S intergenic spacer region". The record is from RNAcentral. Lineage: Bacteria; Pseudomonadati; Gemmatimonadota; Gemmatimonadia; Gemmatimonadales; Gemmatimonadaceae.